Molecule: ribosomal RNA, 322 nt
Filed under: uncultured eukaryote
Lineage: Eukaryota
Description: partial 18S ribosomal RNA
Rfam family: Eukaryotic small subunit ribosomal RNA
Source: RNAcentral
CCCUUAGAUGUCCUGGGCCGCACGCGCGUUACACUGAUGCAUUCAACGAGCUUAUAACCUUGGCCGAGAGGCCUGGGCAAUCUUGUUAACGUGCAUCGUGAUAGGGAUAGAUUAUUGAAAUUAUUAAUCUUGAACGAGGAAUUCCUAGUAAACGCAGAUCAUCAAUCUGCAUUGAUUACGUCCCUGCCCUUUGUACACACCGCCCGUCGCACCUACCGAUUGAAUGGUCCGGUGAAAUCUCGGGACGGCGGCUUGGUCGCUUGCGUCCGACUGCUGAAACUUGAUUAAACCAUAUCAUUUAGAGGAAGGUGAAGUCGUANCA